This 449-nucleotide ribosomal RNA is filed under the name uncultured bacterium. Its description in RNAcentral is "partial 16S ribosomal RNA". It matches the Rfam family "Bacterial small subunit ribosomal RNA", at positions 29 to 523 of the family's 1533-position model. The record is from RNAcentral.
AGCGAACGCUGGCGGCAGGCCUAACACAUGCAAGUCGAGCGCCGUAGCAAUACGGAGCGGCAGACGGGAGAGUAACACGUGGGAACGUACCCUUUGGUUCGGAACAACCCAGGGAAACUUGGGCUAAUACCGAAUAAGCCCUCACGGGGAAAGAUUUAUCGCCGAAGGAUCGGCCCGCGUCUGAUUAGCUAGUUGGUGGGGUAAUGGCCCACCAAGGCGACGAUCAGUAGCUGGUCUGAGAGGAUGAUCAGCCUCACUGGGACUGAGACACGGCCCAGACUCCUACGGGAGGCAGCAGUGGGGAAUAUUGGACAAUGGGCGCAAGCCUGAUCCAGCCAUGCCGCGUGGGUGAUGAAGGCCCUAGGGUUGUAAAGCCCUUUCGGCGGGGAAGAUAAUGACGGUACCCGCAGAAGAAGCCCCGGCUAACUUCGUGCCAGCCGCCGCGGUAA